Molecule: ribosomal RNA, 529 nt
Filed under: uncultured fungus
Lineage: Eukaryota; Fungi
Description: bacterial SSU rRNA
Rfam family: Bacterial small subunit ribosomal RNA
Source: RNAcentral
UUUCCUACUCGCGGGGCGAAUACAGCGGGAAACCGCGUGCUAAUACCGAUGUCGUCACUGGUCGCAUGGCUGGUGCAAGAAGGCAGCAAUGCACGAUGGGGUGGGCCCGCGGCCUAUCAGCUAGUCGGUGGGGUAACGGCCUACCGAGGCGAUGACGGGUAGCUGGUCUGAGAGGACGGCCAGCCACACGGGGACUGAGACACGGCCCACGACUCCAUACGGGAGGCAGCAGUGAGGAAUCUUCCGCAAUGGGCGAAAGUCUGACGGAGCGACGCCGCGUGUGCGAUGAAGUCCUUCGGGAUGUAAAGCACUGUCGGAGGGGAAGACAAAAAAGACGGUACCCUCCAAGAAAGCCCCGGCUAACUACGUGCCAGCAGCCGCAGGUAAUACGUAGAGGGGCAAGCGUAAUCCAGAUUUACUGGGCGUAAAGCGCGUGUAGGCAGGCAUGGUAACGGUGUGAUGUGAACAUCUUCCGGCUCAACCGGAAAACUUGGAUUGAAACCUGGCCUGGGCUAGAGUGCAGGAGAGG